RNAcentral lists this ribosomal RNA (368 nucleotides) under uncultured Thermus sp. Its description in RNAcentral is "bacterial SSU rRNA". It matches the Rfam family "Bacterial small subunit ribosomal RNA", at positions 1014 to 1382 of the family's 1533-position model. The record is from RNAcentral. Lineage: Bacteria; Thermotogati; Deinococcota; Deinococci; Thermales; Thermaceae.
GCCCGCAGGGGAGCCCUAGCACAGGUGCUGCAUGGCCGUCGUCAGCUCGUGCCGUGAGGUGUUGGGUUAAGUCCCGCAACGAGCGCAACCCCCGCCGUUAGUUGCCAGCGGUUCGGCCGGGCACUCUAACGGGACUGCCCGCGAAAGCGGGAGGAAGGAGGGGACGACGUCUGGUCAGCAUGGCCCUUACGGCCUGGGCGACACACGUGCUACAAUGCCCACUACAAAGCGAUGCCACCCGGCAACGGGGAGCUAAUCGCAAAAAGGUGGGCCCAGUUCGGAUUGGGGUCUGCAACCCGACCCCAUGAAGCCGGAAUCGCUAGUAAUCGCGGAUCAGCCAUGCCGCGGUGAAUACGUUCCCGGGCCUU